Molecule: unclassified non-coding RNA, 279 nt
Filed under: plant metagenome
Description: partial contains small subunit ribosomal RNA, internal transcribed spacer 1, and 5.8S ribosomal RNA
Source: RNAcentral
UCUCCGUAGGUGAACCUGCGGAGGGAUCAUUACAGAGUUCACGACCUCGCGGGUCCAUCUCCCACCCACUGUUAUCGUUACUUUCGUUUCUUUGCCGGGCCGCCUAAGCCCCGGCCGACGACGUCAACGAUGCGACCCGCUCCCUACAUAGGACUUCGAACCAAGAAUGUUAGUUACUCCUAAGUACUAACAAAUAAUCAAUACUUUCAACAACGGAUCUCUUUGGCCUGGCAUAGAUGCAGAACGCAGCAGAUCAGAACAGCACACGUCUCAAGUCCC